GCUUUUAUAGUUUAAUGAGAACAUAGUAUUGAAGCUGCUAAGGUGAUUUAUCUGAGAGUA
This 60-nucleotide transfer RNA is filed under the name Thereuonema tuberculata. RNAcentral describes it as "tRNA-Phe". The record is from RNAcentral. Lineage: Eukaryota; Metazoa; Arthropoda; Chilopoda; Scutigeromorpha; Scutigeridae.